Molecule: ribosomal RNA, 465 nt
Filed under: Vreelandella stevensii
Lineage: Bacteria; Pseudomonadati; Pseudomonadota; Gammaproteobacteria; Oceanospirillales; Halomonadaceae
Description: partial 16S ribosomal RNA
Rfam family: Bacterial small subunit ribosomal RNA
Source: RNAcentral
CCUACGUGUGGCUGCAGUGGGGAAUAUUGGACAAUGGGCGAAAGCCUGAUCCAGCCAUGCCGCGUGUGUGAAGAAGGCCUUCGGGUUGUAAAGCACUUUCAGUGGGGAAGAAAGCCUUGGGGCUAAUACCCUCGAGGAAGGACAUCACCCACAGAAGAAGCACCGGCUAACUCCGUGCCAGCAGCCGCGGUAAUACGGAGGGUGCGAGCGUUAAUCGGAAUUACUGGGCGUAAAGCGCGCGUAGGCGGUCUGAUAAGCCGGUUGUGAAAGCCCCGGGCUCAACCUGGGAACGGCAUCCGGAACUGGCAGGCUAGAGUGCAGGAGAGGAAGGUAGAAUUCCCGGUGUAGCGGUGAAAUGCGUAGAGAUCGGGAGGAAUACCAGUGGCGAAGGCGGCCUUCUGGACUGACACUGACGCUGAGGUGCGAAAGCGUGGGUAGCAAACAGGAUUAGAUACCCGGGUAGUC